Molecule: transfer RNA, 69 nt
Filed under: Ratufa bicolor melanopepla
Lineage: Eukaryota; Metazoa; Chordata; Mammalia; Rodentia; Sciuridae
Description: tRNA-Gly
Source: RNAcentral
AUUCUUCUAAUAUAAACCAGUAUAGUUGACUUCCAAUCAACAUGUCCUAGUAAGCCCUGGGGAAGAAUA